Molecule: ribosomal RNA, 643 nt
Filed under: uncultured bacterium
Lineage: Bacteria
Description: bacterial SSU rRNA
Rfam family: Bacterial small subunit ribosomal RNA (bases 1-533)
Source: RNAcentral
CCUACGGGAGGCAGCAGUGAGGAAUAUUGGACAAUGGGCGCAAGCCUGAUCCAGCCAUGCCGCGUGCAGGAAGAAGCAUCUAUGGUGUGUAAACUGCUUUUGUACAGGAAGAAACACUCCCUCGUGAGGGAGCUUGACGGUACUGUAAGAAUAAGGACCGGCUAACUCCGUGCCAGCAGCCGCGGUAAUACGGAGGGUCCGAGCGUUAUCCGGAAUCAUUGGGUUUAAAGGGUCCGUAGGCGGUUUAAUAAGUCAGUGGUGAAAUCUGGUCGCUCAACGAUCAAACGGCCAUUGAUACUGUUAGACUUGAAUUAUAAGGAAGUAACUAGAAUAUGUAGUGUAGCGGUGAAAUGCUUAGAUAUUACAUGGAAUACCAAUUGCGAAGGCAGGUUACUACUUAUGGAUUGACGCUGAUGGACGAAAGCGUGGGGAGCGAACAGGAUUAGAUACCCUGGUAGUCCACGCCGUAAACGAUGGAUACUAGCUGUUCGGAGCAAUCUGAGUGGCUAAGCGAAAGUGAUAAGUAUCCCACCUGGGGAAGUACGUUCGCAAGAAAGUUAGAAAGUAACAAUUAGAGUUAGACGGGACGUUGAGGACGUUAGCCGAACGGACGACCGAACCGAACGGGGAAGGUUAAGGGAGG